RNAcentral lists this long non-coding RNA (811 nucleotides) under Nicotiana tabacum (common tobacco). RNAcentral describes it as "long non-coding RNA (NTAB_LNC007582)". Lineage: Eukaryota; Viridiplantae; Streptophyta; Magnoliopsida; Solanales; Solanaceae. The record is from RNAcentral.
UAACACACACAAAAGGGGCUUCAUCUUCUUAACACACAAGAAGAAACGGUAGAACCCUCUAAAAAACCAUUGGAGCGGCUCCUACUUCUUCACUCUUGAACACACACAGCAAUGAACCAGACCCCACUCCAUUCACAAAAAAUCAAAAAAAAAAAAAAGCCGCACCCCCCACAACAAAAAUGCCGACACCUCUGCCUAACCAAUUGUCAAAACCGAAACACUCCCAAAGAUAUAUUACAAACACAUAGAUUUUGGAGUUUCAAUGGAGGCAAUUAGCUUAUGUAGCUUCGGUAAUUUUUUAUCUACUGAUGUUUUCUCAACAUCUAAAGAGUAUUGAAUAAAGAACUCUAUUUGAAAACUUUGUUGUGGUGGAUCUACAAAAUCUAACUACAUCUAUUGGAUUUAUGCUUUGGUUUCUGCUUCUAAAAUAUAGAAAUUCUGGAGAAUUGAAGCUCGUUUCUAUUCGAGGUUGCAAUUCCAGUUCGAAAUCAUGGUCCAUAGCUCGCUCGAGGAUUGCUUUUUCUUUGGAGAUUAUUUUGCACUGUACCCGUUGAAAAAUUUUCAGUAACAAAGGUCCAUCUUCCCCAUUGCAACUUCAUUAAUUUUGAAUGUAAUCUUAUUGCUUCUAUUCUUCUGAAGUUGUUUGUUGCUUUAAUUCCCUUGAGAUAUAUGAAUAUAGAAUCGUUGUUUUGAUUCCUUUAAGCUAAGUAUUAAUCGUGCUAUGAUGGGUGUUUUGUUGGUAAAUUUCAUGUAAAUUGUGUAUUAUUUGAUAUCAUUGAUUACAUGGCUAAUUUUUAAUUGUUUAGGAUUU